GACGAACGCUGGCGGCGUGCUUAACACAUGCAAGUCGAACGGAAAGGCCCUGCGUUUGUGGGGUGCUCGAGUGGCGAACGGGUGAGUAACACGUGAGUAACCUGCCCUUGACUUUGGGAUAACUUCAGGAAACUGGGGCUAAUACCGGAUAGGAGCUCCUGCUGCAUGGUGGGGGUUGGAAAGUUUCGGUGGCAUGGGAUGGACUCGCGGAGCAUCAGCUUGUUGGUUAGGUAGUGGAUUACCAAGGCUUUGACGGGUAGCCGGGCUGAGAGGGUGACCUGCCUGAUCGGGACUAAACUACGGCCACGACUCGUACGCAGGGAAAGCGGGAGGAAUAUUGCACGAUGGACCGACGCCUAAUGCAGCCACCCCGCGUGCGGGAUGACAGCCUUCGGGUUGUAAACCGCUUUCGCCUGUGACGAAGAGUGAGUGACGGUAAUGGGUAAAGAAGCACCGGCUAACUACGUG
RNAcentral lists this ribosomal RNA (468 nucleotides) under uncultured bacterium. Its description in RNAcentral is "partial 16S ribosomal RNA". It matches the Rfam family "Bacterial small subunit ribosomal RNA", at positions 28 to 507 of the family's 1533-position model. The record is from RNAcentral.